CCUACGGGAGGCAGCAGUAGGGAAUCUUCCACAAUGGGCGAAAGCCUGAUGCAGCAACGCCGCGUGGGUGAAGAAGGUCUUCGGAUCGUAACACCCUGUUGUUAGAGAAGAAAGUGCGUGAGAGUAACUGUUCACGUUUCGACGGUAUCUAACCAGAAAGCCUCGGUUAACUACGUCCCAGACGCCGCUGUAAUACGUAGGUGGCAAGCGUUAUUCGGAUUUAUUGGGCGUAAAGGGAACGCAGGCGGUCCUUUAAGUAUGAUGUGAAAGCCUUCGGCUUAACCGGAGUAGUGCAUUGGAAACUGGGAGACGGGAGGGCAGAAGAGGAAGGUGGAACUCCAUGUGGAGCGGUGAAAUGCGUAGAUAUAUGGAAGAACACCAGUGGCGAAGGCGGCUCACUGGUCUGUAACUGACGCUGAGGUUCGAAAGCGUGGGUAGCAAACAGGAUUAGAUACCCCAGUAGUC
RNAcentral lists this ribosomal RNA (465 nucleotides) under uncultured bacterium. RNAcentral describes it as "partial 16S ribosomal RNA". It matches the Rfam family "Bacterial small subunit ribosomal RNA", at positions 338 to 795 of the family's 1533-position model. The record is from RNAcentral.